UACGUAGGGGGCAAGCGUUGUCCGGAUUUAUUGGGCGUAAAGAGCUCGUAGGCGGCUUUGUAAGUUAGAGGUGAAAGCCCGGAGCUCAACUCCGGAACUGCCUUUAAGACUGCAUCGCUUGAAUCCAGGAGAGGUGAGUGGAAUUCCGAGUGUAGAGGUGAAAUUCGUAGAUAUUCGGAAGAACACCAGUGGCGAAGGCGGCUCACUGGACUGGUAUUGACGCUGAGGUGCGAAAGCGUGGGGAGCAAACAGG
This 253-nucleotide ribosomal RNA is filed under the name uncultured bacterium. RNAcentral describes it as "partial 16S ribosomal RNA". It matches the Rfam family "Bacterial small subunit ribosomal RNA", at positions 524 to 776 of the family's 1533-position model. The record is from RNAcentral.